Non-coding RNA from Theobroma cacao (cacao), 3744 nucleotides. The record is from RefSeq and is a predicted model, not a curated record. Lineage: Eukaryota; Viridiplantae; Streptophyta; Magnoliopsida; Malvales; Malvaceae.
ACCCGACCCGGCUCCAUUGCCACCUCCCCGCACAACGGUUAUAUCAUGGGUUGUUCAAGGUUGAAAUGCGCGCAGGUGAGGUGACUACCCGUAGCCGCCAUACAAUGCUCAAAACAAAGGCCUCUACAGACCUGGUUUCCCGCCCAAUCAUCAUUCUUUCGAAAACCCAACUCCACAAGUUUCGACAACAAUCUUUUACAGAAAAGCUCUUAUCCUUUUUGAAAAAAUGCACAUCCAUCAAACUCUUACAACAAAUCCACGCCCAAAUGCUCAUCAAUUCCAUCCAAAAACCGAACUUCCUUCUCUCCAAAAUCAUUGACCUUAACAACUUCGCCUACGCUUCCCUUCUCUUCUCCCAAAUCCCUCAACCCAAUGAUUACGCUUUCAAUGUCAUGAUCCGUGGCCUUACUACCACAUGGCAACACUACUCUACAACUCUUCAUUUUUAUUAUCAAAUGAAAUUUUUAGGCUUAAAACCGAAUAAAUUCACUUACCCUUUUUUGUUUAUUGCCUGUGCCAAUCUUUUAGAGCUAAGUCACGGGCAGGCAGCUCAUUCGUCGGUGUUUAGACUGGGGUUGGACGUUGAUUCUCAUACUACUCACUCUUUGAUUACAAUGUAUGCUCGUUGCGGUGAAUUGGGUAGUGCUCGUAGGGUGUUUGAUGAAAUAUCUGAGAGGGAUUUGGUGUCGUGGAACUCAAUGAUUUCGGGAUAUUCUAAAAUGGGUUAUGCGAAUGAGGCGGUUGGUUUGUUUGGGAAGAUGAGAGAGGAAGGAUUUGUGCCUGAUGAGAUGACGUUAGUCAGUGUCCUUGGGGCGUGUGGGGAUUUGGGGGAUUUAAGUUUAGGGAGGUGGGUGGAGGGGUUUGCUAUAGAACAUAAGAUCAAACUGAAUUCAUUUAUUGCGUCUGCUUUGAUUGGUAUGUAUGGAAAGUGUGGGGAUUUUGUAUCGGCGAGGGGGGUCUUUGAUGGAAUGGAGGGGAAGGAUGUGGUCACCUGGAAUGCGAUGAUCACUGGGUAUGCACAAAAUGGAAUGUCAGAUGAAGCAAUAAAGCUGUUUCAUGGCAUGAAGGAUGCAGGAGUUAUCCCAGACAAAAUUACAUUGGUUGGAGUUCUGUCAGCAUGUGCCUCAAUUGGGGCCCUAGACUUGGGGAAAAGGAUUGACACAUAUGCAUCACAAAGAGGCUUACAACGCAAUAUCUUUGUUUCUACUGCUUUGGUUGAUAUGUAUGCUAAGUGUGGGAGCUUGGACAAUGCACAAAGAGUAUUUGAAAACAUGCCUGUAAAAAAUGAGGCUUCAUGGAAUGCAAUGAUUUCUGCUCUUGCUUUCCAUGGGCGACCUCAGGAGGCUUUAUCACUAUUUGAACGCAUGUCAAAAGAGGGUAGGGAUGCCUGUCCAAAUGAUGUUACAUUUGUAGGAGUACUUUCAGCAUGUGUGCAUGCAGGAUUGGUUGAUGAAGGCUGGCAAUAUUUUGAAUUGAUGAACUCUUCAUAUGGGUUAACACCAAAAAUUGAGCAUUGCUCUUGCAUGGUUGAUCUUUUGGCACGUGCUGGUCAACUUUAUGAAGCUUGGGAUUUCAUUGAGAAGAUGCCUGAAAAACCAGAUGAAAUUGUACUGGGGGCACUACUUGGUGCCUGUCAGAAGCGCAAAAAUGUUGAUGUUGGUGAGAGGGUGAUGCAACUUCUGCUGCAAAUGGAGCCUUCAAAUUCUGGAAACUAUGUUAUCUCAUCAAAGAUAUAUGCAAAUUCAAGAAGGUGGGAUGACUCAGCAAAAAUGAGGGUGUUGAUGAGGCAGAGGGGUGUCAAUAAGACUCCUGGUUGUAGCUGGAUUGAAAUCGAAGCUCAACUUCAUGAAUUUCUUGCUGGGGAUGGCUUGCAGUAUCAUUCAAUCAAGAUUCAUCAAGUCUUUGACUUGCUGAAUGCGGAGAUGAAGAGGGAAGGUUACAUUCCAAAGGUUGAUUGUCUAUAGAGAUAGAAAAAAAAGUUCAGAAACAUGCUUUCCUCUUAAUCUUUUCAAUACUGAAGAAACAUACUCGGAAUUUCUUUGCUGUCAGUUAAAACACUAAAGGUGGGGGAAGAUCAUGUCAUCUGGAGUUAUGGAUCUAUUAAUCGUCAACAUGGAUAGUUGUUUGUGGUCAAGGACGGCCCAAUGGUAGCCACACUUUAUCUCUAACAAGUUGGUUCUCAUGGGUUAACACUAUCUCCUAAUGUGUUUCAUCAGGAAUUGCCCAUUUUUUAAGAGCUAAGACUAAUGAGAAUAGAAGACAUGCCAUAUUUGAUACAUGUAAAAGAAAUGGCUGACUAUGUGGAUUCAAGCUUAAGCUCUGAAGUGGAACUGCUAUUUGUGGAUCUAGAACAAGAUACUCCAUAGAUCUUUGAACUUUUGUUUCAGAUGAGAACAGUUGAAGACAAAAAUUCACCAGGGGUGCUGCUUAUAUUAUUUCAGAAGUUGUUCUCAUGAUUUUUCUUCUUCAAGGAAUGGGAAAUUAUCUCCUGCCAGUUGACAGGACAAACACAUGGCAAAUAUUAGUUCCUCCAGUGAGCUGAUAAAUUCUUUGUUCUUUGUACUUAUUGAUGUCAGUAGCUGCAUACCUGACACUAUGAUCACUGUACCAACUUUAAAUGGGUUCGAUUGAGAGCUUAAAGCUUGCUGGAGAACUAAAUCCAAGGCCCAUCAAUAAAGAUUUGGUUGGGAUAAUUAAUUCUUGAAGGACUUGAAUGAGCAUAGAUGCAAGCUGCUGGAAAAUGUUUAGGUGAAGGACUCAUUUCCAGUUUUGAAUUAAGAUACUUGGCCCUUAAAUUAGAUACAGCAUUGGUCAUUCCAGGUGUAUUUGGUAUAUUGGUGAGAAAUCCCACCAAUUGAGGUGAGUGGGUGAACUAUCUUGAACUAUACUUCCAUACGAAGUAUAAUAUAUAUAUAUCUUCUCGGAUACUUGAAUCUAUUGUGGAAAGUAUGAGCUGGUAGAAAACAAUUAGGCUUUUUUGUGAUUGUGCCAUUGUUUUAUCAAUUGUCUUGGAAAAAAUUAAGUAUGUACAUACUAGACUAUCUAUAUUGAUUUAAAAGUGGGAAACAAGCCAUUGACUGCGACUUUGCUUCAAAAUCUGCCUUGCAAAUGAUUGUGCGUUGUUUAGGCCGAGAAUGGCCAUUGAGUGAUUCAAAAAAAAAAGAAUUCAAUUUUCACUCAUUUGAAAUUGUGAAUAUGCAUGAUGGUUUUUGGAUAUGCACCAUGGCUUUUAAAUGAAUUUGUGCAUACCAUAUUGAAUUAUAAAGUAUUUUACCUACUUCUCAUUAGUGUGUUUUAUGCUUGAAAUGAGUAUGAUUUUACAUUAAUAAGCACUCGGGUAUAGGUCCUAUUGCCACACCAGGCUUGUGUGGUCUUUGUGAACAAAGUAAUUGAUGCAUAUUCACAAUUUCACUCAUUUGAAAUUGUGAAUAUGCAUGAUGGUUUUAGGAUAUGCACCAUGGCUUUUAAAUGAAUUUGUGCAUACCAUAUUGAAUUAUAAAGUAUUUUACCUACUUCUCCAUUAGUGUGUUUUAUGCUUGAAUGAAAUGAGUAUGAUUUUACAUUAAUAAGCACUCGGGUAUAGGUCCUAUUGCCACACUAGGCUUGUGUGGUCUUUGUGAACAAAGUAAUGGUUGCUUGUUGAUUGAUGUUUGAAUAUAAAGAGGAACUUGAAGCCCCAACUAGAUAUUUGAUGGCAUGAGGAGUCCCACGAGUAGUUAAAGAGGGACUUGAAGCCUCGAUUUA